GCGUCUAUAGCUCAAUUGGAUAGAGCGUCAGCCUCCGAAGCUGGAUGUUCCGGUUCAAGUCCGGAUAGACGCA
This 73-nucleotide transfer RNA is filed under the name Candidatus Endomicrobium macrotermitis. RNAcentral describes it as "tRNA-Arg". It matches the Rfam family "tRNA". Rfam says of the family: Transfer RNA (tRNA) molecules are approximately 80 nucleotides in length. Their secondary structure includes four short double-helical elements and three loops (D, anti-codon, and T loops). Further hydrogen bonds mediate the characteristic L-shaped molecular structure. tRNAs have two regions of fundamental functional importance: the anti-codon, which is responsible for specific mRNA codon recognition, and the 3' end, to which the tRNAs corresponding amino acid is attached (by aminoacyl-tRNA synthetases). tRNAs cope with the degeneracy of the genetic code in two manners: having more than one tRNA (with a specific anti-codon) for a particular amino acid; and 'wobble' base-pairing, i.e. permitting non-standard base-pairing at the 3rd anti-codon position. The record is from RNAcentral. Lineage: Bacteria; Pseudomonadati; Elusimicrobiota; Endomicrobiia; Endomicrobiales; Endomicrobiaceae.